GUGGGGAAUAUUGGACAAUGGGCGAAAGCCUGAUCCAGCCAUGCCGCGUGUGUGAAGAAGGUCUUCGGAUUGUAAAGCACUUUAAGUUGGGAGGAAGGGCAGUAAGUUAAUACCUUGCUGUUUUGACGUUACCAACAGAAUAAGCACCGGCUAACUUCGUGCCAGCAGCCGCGGUAAUACGAAGGGUGCAAGCGUUAAUCGGAAUUACUGGGCGUAAAGCGCGCGUAGGUGGUUCAGCAAGUUGAAGGUGAAAUCCCCGGGCUCAACCUGGGAACUGCCUCCAAAACUACAUGACUAGAGUACGGUAGAGGGUAGUGGAAUUUCCUGUGUAGCGGUGAAAUGCGUAGAUAUAGGAAGGAACACCAGUGGCGAAGGCGACUACCUGGACUGAUACUGACACUGAGGUGCGAAAGCGUGGGGAGCAAACAGGAUUAGAAACCCGUGUAGUCC
This 450-nucleotide ribosomal RNA is filed under the name uncultured bacterium. RNAcentral describes it as "partial 16S ribosomal RNA". It matches the Rfam family "Bacterial small subunit ribosomal RNA", at positions 354 to 796 of the family's 1533-position model. The record is from RNAcentral.